UGGGGAAUAUUGCACAAUGGGCGCAAGCCUGAUGCAGCCAUGCCGCGUGUAUGAAGAAGGCCUUCGGGUUGUAAAGUACUUUCAGCGGGGAGGAAGGUAGUAAAGUUAAUACCUUUGCUCAUUGACGUUACCCGCAGAAGAAGCACCGGCUAACUCCGUGCCAGCAGCCGCGGUAAUACGGAGGGUGCAAGCGUUAAUCGGAAUUACUGGGCGUAAAGCGCACGCAGGCGGUUUGUUAAGUCAGAUGUGAAAUCCCCGGGCUCAACCUGGGAACUGCAGCUGAUACUGGCAAGCUUGAGUCUCGUAGAGGGGGGGAGAAUUCCAGGUGUAGCGGUGAAAUGCGUAGAGAUCUGGAGGAGAACCGGUGGGGAAGGAGGCCCCCUGGGCGAAGACUGACGCUCAGGUGCGAAAGCGUGGGGAGCAAACAGG
Molecule: ribosomal RNA, 429 nt
Filed under: Chloroflexota bacterium
Lineage: Bacteria; Bacillati; Chloroflexota
Description: Chloroflexi bacterium partial 16S ribosomal RNA
Rfam family: Bacterial small subunit ribosomal RNA
Source: RNAcentral